UACGUAUGGUGCAAGCGUUAUCCGGAUUUACUGGGUGUAAAGGGAGCGCAGGCGGCUUUGCAAGUCUGACGUGAAAGGCCGGGGCUCAACCCCGGGACUGCAUUGGAAACUGUAAAGCUAGAGUGCCGGAGAGGUAAGCGGAAUUCCUAGUGUAGCGGUGAAAUGCGUAGAUAUUAGGAGGAACACCAGUGGCGAAGGCGGCUUACUGGACGGCAACUGACGCUGAGGCUCGAGAGCGUGGGGAGCAAACAGG
This 253-nucleotide ribosomal RNA is filed under the name uncultured bacterium. RNAcentral describes it as "partial 16S ribosomal RNA". It matches the Rfam family "Bacterial small subunit ribosomal RNA", at positions 524 to 776 of the family's 1533-position model. The record is from RNAcentral.